UAACGAAUCUUCCGCAAUGGGCGCAAGCCUGACGGAGCAAUGCCGCGUGUGGGAUGAAGCGUCUCUGACGUGUAAACCACUGUCAGGGGUUAGAAACAAUGAUCAACCCCAAAGGAAGUGGCGACUAACUCUGUGCCAGCAGUCGCGGUAAUACAGAGGCCACAAGCGUUAGUCGGAAUCACUGGGCUUAAAGGGUGCGUAGGCUGGUCCGCAAGCGUCUUGUGAAAGCCCUCGGCUCAACCGAGGAACAGCAGGGCGAACUGCGGAUCUUGAGGCAGGUAGGGGUCGCGAGAACAGUAGGUGGAGCGGUGAAAUGCGUAGAUAUCUACUGGAAUGCCGAUGGUGAAGACGCGCGACUGGGCCUGUCCUGACGCUGAGGCACGAAAGCGUGGGGAGCAAACGGGAUUAGAUACCCCAGUAGUCCCUGAGCGGGCUGGCAAGGCGCAU
RNAcentral lists this ribosomal RNA (447 nucleotides) under uncultured bacterium. RNAcentral describes it as "bacterial SSU rRNA". It matches the Rfam family "Bacterial small subunit ribosomal RNA", at positions 355 to 825 of the family's 1533-position model. The record is from RNAcentral.